AUUGAACGCUGGCGGCAUGCCUAACACAUGCAAGUCGAACGGGGUAGGGGCAACUCUACUUCAGUGGCGGACGGGUGAGGAAUGCGUCGGAAUCUACCCUAUGGUGGGGGAUAACACAGGGAAACUUGUGCUAAUACCGCAUGAUGUCGAGAGACCAAAGCAGGGGACCGCAAGGCCUUGCGCGAUAGGAUGAGCCGACGCCCGAUUAGCUAGUUGGUAGGGUAAAGGCCUACCAAGGCGACGAUCGGUAGCUGGUCUGAGAGGAUGAUCAGCCACACUGGGACUGAGACACGGCCCAGACUCCUACGGGAGGCAGCAGUGGGGAAUAUUGGACAAUGGGCGCAAGCCUGAUCCAGCAAUGCCGCGUGUGUGAAGAAGGCCUGCGGGUUGUAAAGCACUUUUGUUCGGGAAGAAAACGGAUCGGUUAAUACCCGGUUCGGAUGACGGUACCGAAAGAAUAAGCACCGGCUAACUUCGUG
This 479-nucleotide ribosomal RNA is filed under the name uncultured bacterium. RNAcentral's name for it is "bacterial SSU rRNA". It matches the Rfam family "Bacterial small subunit ribosomal RNA", at positions 30 to 507 of the family's 1533-position model. The record is from RNAcentral.